Molecule: unclassified non-coding RNA, 1458 nt
Filed under: uncultured fungus
Lineage: Eukaryota; Fungi
Description: sequence contains 18S rRNA gene, ITS1, 5.8S rRNA gene, ITS2, 28S rRNA gene
Rfam family: Eukaryotic large subunit ribosomal RNA (bases 418-1458)
Source: RNAcentral
GGAAGGAUCAUUAACAAAUCAGCCCCUUACGGGGACAUUUGCGCUCGUGAGCAAUCAUGGGAUGCACAUUAACACAUUACUGUCAAGUUUACGUGAGAUUAUAAAUUAGAAACAACUUUUAACAAUGGAUCUCUUGGCUCUUGCAACGAUGAAGAACGCAGUAAUGUGCGAAAAGUAAUGCGAUCUGCAUUAUCUGUGAAUCAUCAAAUCUUUGAACGCAAAUGGCACUGCCACGACAAGUGGCGGUAUGCCUGUUUGAGAACCGAAUAAAACAUCACCUCUAGUUAGAGGCGGACGUGCUUGUGACUGCGGUCUUGAGCUGAAAGUAUUGUUGCGGGCACUGUGUCCGGUGUAUGAUAGUCUUUACACCCAUGGCCGGUGCUAGUAAAUGCAGCACGGACAGUAUAUUUCAAAAACCGGUCUCAAAUCAGGCAAGGCUACCCGCUGAACUUAAGCAUAUCAGUAAGCGGAGGAAAAGAAACUAACAAGGAUUCCCUCAGUAACGGCGAGUGAAGUGGGAUCAGCUCAAAUUUAAAAUCUGGCCGCAAGGCCCGAAUUGUAGUCUAAAGAGGUGCAAUCUGGUGGAAGGGCGUGUUCAAGUUGCCUGGAAUGGCACAUCACAGAGGGUGAGAAUCCCGUCUAGACGCGCCCGGAAGCCUGUACGAUGCACUCUCGAAGAGUCGAGUUGUUUGGGAAUGCAGCUCAAAAUGGGUGGUAAAUUUCAUCCAAGGCUAAAUACCGGCAAGAGACCGAUAGCGAACAAGUACCGUGAGGGAAAGAUGAAAAGCACCUUGAAAAGGGAGUUAAACAGCGCGUGAAAUUGUUAAAAGGGAAACGAUUGAAGCCAGCAUUGUGCUGGAGGCCUGUGGUUGUGACCGGUGUAGUUGAGCGCAAGCCGACAAAGCUGUUAGCAGCUGCACGUUCCAGUGCGAGUCAGGGCCGCUUUGGUGUGCCUGAGAAGAGGUUGGGAAGGUAGUCAUCUCUGGAUGAUCUUAUAGCCCGACUGGAUCUGGUGUGCUAGAGCUGGGAUGUGCAUGACAUGUGCCUGAUCAUGCUUGGAGUGGUGUGUUUUCUGCUUGCAGAUACGCGUUCACGUUCGAGUAGGUGAGGGUAACGUUAGUGCCGUACCUGACGCAAUGGUUUUAAACGACCCGUCUUGAAACACGGACCAAGGAGUCUAACAUGUAUGCGAGUGUUUGAGUGGCAAACUCGAGCGCGCAAUGAAAGUGUAAUGUGGGAACACAACAGUGGGCACCAUGGACCGACCUUGAUAUCUCUUGAGAGUGUCGAGUCAGAGCAUAAAUGUUGGGACCCGAAAGAUGGUGAACUAUGCCUGGAUAGGAUGAAGCCAGAGGAAACUCUGGUGGAGGUCCGCAGCCGUUCUGACGUGCAAAUCGAUGGUCAAAUCUGGGCAUAGGGGCGAAAGACUAAUCGAACCAUCUAGUAGCUGGUUCCCUC